CAAAACCUAGAGUUGGAUACUGAAAGGACUGAGCCACCCAGUCACUUCUGAAAUAAUAUUUUUUCUGGGUAUAGAAUUUGUGUCAACAGAUAUAUUCUGUCAACUCUUGAAAAUAUUGAACGAUUUCUUUCUGGCUCCUGUUGUUUUUGAA
This 151-nucleotide long non-coding RNA is filed under the name Mustela putorius furo (domestic ferret). RNAcentral's name for it is "lncRNA (ENSMPUG00000025576.1)". The record is from RNAcentral. Lineage: Eukaryota; Metazoa; Chordata; Mammalia; Carnivora; Mustelidae.